Molecule: ribosomal RNA, 403 nt
Filed under: uncultured bacterium
Lineage: Bacteria
Description: bacterial SSU rRNA
Rfam family: Bacterial small subunit ribosomal RNA
Source: RNAcentral
UGAGGAAUAUUGCACAAUGGGCGCAAGCCUGAUGCAGCAACGCCGCGUGCGGGACGAAGGCCUUCGGGUCGUAAACCGCUUUUCUGGGGGAAGAGCAAGGACGGUACCUCAGGAAUAAGCAUCGGCUAACUCCGUGCCAGCAGCCGCGGUAAUACGGAGGAUGCGAGCGUUAUCCGGAUUUAUUGGGUUUAAAGGGUGCGCAGGCGGGAUUUUAAGUCAGCGGUGAAAUUUUCAGGCUCAACCUGAACACUGCCGUUGAAACUGGGAUUCUUGAGUAUGGAUGAAGUAGGCGGAAUUCGUUGUGUAGCGGUGACAUGCUUAGAUAUAACGAGGAACUCCGAUUGCGUAGGCAGCUUACUAAGCCAUAACUGACGCUCAAGCACGAAAGCGUGGGGAUCAAACA